Girardinichthys multiradiatus is the source of this 1169-nucleotide long non-coding RNA. RefSeq lists it as uncharacterized. The transcript has 2 exons. The record is from RefSeq and is a predicted model, not a curated record. Lineage: Eukaryota; Metazoa; Chordata; Actinopteri; Cyprinodontiformes; Goodeidae.
UCUGCUUCUCUGCAGUCCUGCUUCCAAGCAGUUUUUCUGAUCUCCUUGUUUUUCUUCCCCUGCCUUGCAGUUCACCGUUUGCUGAAGGAAGUCAUGGAAACUUUCUGGUCUCCGUUUUUACUCAUGUCAUGUUCAGAGGAGUUUGGGAACUCCAUCCUUGACACCUCAGCCCUGAGCCUACCCUCUGCUUCCAACUCCAAGCCCAGCUUCUCAGGAGCCACCUGAAAACCACCCGUCAACCUGCCUGUCCACCCUUCAACGUUAAAAUUCUCCAACCAUAGUGGAGUUUCCUGGAAGAGAAUAAACCAAGCACGUCAUCCUCCGAAAACUGUUCACAGCCUCAAGCCUCCGUGGAGAAGGACUUAUUUUCCCCUGGUCUUGUCAAGAACCCAACCCCUAGAGACCCUGUGUUUCUCCACCAGCUCCAGCCCUGGUUCCAGUCCGACCUUUAUCAGUGUUUCAAAAACUGUUAAAAUGCUGUCUUUGUCCUCGUGGUUGUGUAUCUGUGUCUAAGAAAAUGCCAUUAUGAUACUUUUGCAAAAGACUGAAUCAAAAUUUUUUGACCAUUCCUUGACUGUAGAGAAAAUUAAAUUGAGAGGUAAACAAUUGAAGAUUUUACAUAUAGGUUUUUUAGGAGAUACUAUAACGACACUUUUUUUUUUUUUUAAGUACUCAAGCCAGUGCUUCAAGAAGGAUACUAAAUUCUCAAACACGAUAUAUACUUUCUUUACUAUUGGUGUCUUCUGGAUUCAGAGAGUGCAUAUGACUUUGUAUCUGAAGGCAUUUAAUGGGGGACCUUAUGCGAGUACAGGAUACUUUGGUAGUUUUUAAAUACCUCUCCUUGUAUACCUAAACCAAGAGCUUUGAUCAGUGUUGGAACAAAGCCAAGCUUGUUCCAAAUGCAGAUUUUGACUUGCCUCCUAUCACUUCUGAUUGUAUGGUUAAGAGAGGUCCUUGGCCCCACUGUACACAGGGUUGAAUUUAAAGGUUGCUAACCACAGGUUCUUGAGGACUGGUGAUGGAGACCCGCAAAUAGACAGAUUCAAAUUCAAUUACAUACAGUCCAAUUCUAGCUGAAUGAUAACAUAAUGCUGUCAAAUACAGUUGAUAAUUUCAUAGAAAUUGGUAAAAGUUACCUAAAGAACUGUAGCUGAUUCCAUCAUGUCAGU